CUUGUUUUCUUCGGUAGAUUUUAAACAACAACAAAGAAAAAAAAUGAGUUUCACAAAAGUCUUAGCGACGUUUUUCCUUGUAGCUAUAUUGGUUGUUUCGAUGUCUAGCAAAAACGCUUUGGGCUCACGCUUUGGUGAUAUAAAAAGGCAACAAUGUUUCAACAAAUGUACGAGCAAAUAUGGACCGUAUGAAUGCAGUACAGACUGUAGGUUAUCCUUUUACGGAGACGGACACUGUGUUUUGGGAUAUUGUUGUUGCGAUAAUGUGCCACCUGCUCAGUUUAUUAAAUCUCAUGAAUGAUCCUUAACCUUAUUAAUGUUUUGCUUUUGAUUAUGAGAAACAUGUACCGUAUAAAACAUAUUAUAUCCUGAAAUAAAAGCUAUAUUAUUAUCUUC
This is a long non-coding RNA of Eutrema salsugineum, 396 nucleotides long. RefSeq lists it as uncharacterized. The record is from RefSeq and is a predicted model, not a curated record. The transcript is spliced from 2 exons. Lineage: Eukaryota; Viridiplantae; Streptophyta; Magnoliopsida; Brassicales; Brassicaceae.